GCUUCCUUUCACACCAUUUAAUAAGUUCAUGACUCAUGAUGAUGUUGUUAGAAAUAACUCUACCUGGAACAAAUGCAUACUGGCUAGCAUGUACAAGCAAAUCCAUCACUUGCUUCAUUCUAUGAGUCAAAACUUUAGAGAUGAGUUUGUAUAGCAAGGUACAACAAGUAGGUUCUGCUCCUUAGGGAUCAGUCUGAUGGUUGUGCAAUUACAACUGUCCAGUACUAAAGAAGUGCAGUCCUGCACAUAUAACCUUUUCUCCAAAUAUGUCCCAUGCCCUUUUGAAAAAUCAAGCAUUAUAGCCAUCAAAUCUUGGGGCUUUGGAGUCAUUAAUAUCAUUUAGGGCCUUUAUAGCUUCCUCUUUAGUGACAGGUUCUAUCAGACCAAGUUGAUGCUUCCUUCCCGACACAGGGCCUUGUUGCCUAACAUGAGAGGCAAUACUAACCUGUUAUGGUGCUGCAGUAACUAAUAAACCUUUGUAGAAACUGAAUAUUUCAGUUGUGACCUCCUCCUUUGUUAGCAUCACUCCGUUUGCAUCUUUUGAUAGUGCUGUGACUCACUAUACUCUUCAAGCUUGCAUAAUAGUAGGAUUUAUUAGUCUCUCCAAGUUGUAACCAAUGCAUUCUAGAUUUCUCCUUCAAUACACUUUCAGCAAUGUUAUUUUACUUUUCAAGCUGCA
This 679-nucleotide long non-coding RNA is filed under the name Capsicum annuum. RNAcentral describes it as "long non-coding RNA (CANN_LNC021049)". Lineage: Eukaryota; Viridiplantae; Streptophyta; Magnoliopsida; Solanales; Solanaceae. The record is from RNAcentral.